This 364-nucleotide ribosomal RNA is filed under the name Acanthamoeba genotype T11. RNAcentral describes it as "SSU rRNA". It matches the Rfam family "Eukaryotic small subunit ribosomal RNA", at positions 820 to 1087 of the family's 1831-position model. Lineage: Eukaryota; Discosea; Longamoebia; Acanthamoebidae. The record is from RNAcentral.
GAAUAGGACCCUGUCCUCCUAUUUUCAGUUGGUUUUGGCACGCGAGGACCAGGGUAAUGAUUAAUAGGGAUAGUUGGGGGCAUUAAUAUUUAAUUGUCAGAGGUGAAAUUCUUGGAUUUAUGAAAGAUUAACUUCUGCGAAAGCAUCUGCCAAGGAUGUUUUCAUUAAUCAAGAACGAAAGUUAGGGGAUCGAAGACGAUCAGAUACCGUCGUAGUCUUAACCAUAAACGAUGCCGACCAGCGAUUAGGAGACGUUGAAUACAAAACACCACCAUCGGUGCGGUCGUCCUUGGCGCGUCGUGGCUUGCUGCGGCGUGCGAGGGCGAUUUAGCCUGAUGGCAUCGGUGAAUGACUCCCUAGCAGC